UUGUAACUUCUUUUCUCAGUAAAAGAAAUUUUGACACGUAUCUGAUGAAUAAUCAUCGGCUAACUCUGUGCCACCAGCCGCGGUAAGACAGAGGAUGCAAGCGUUAUCCGGAAUGAUUGGGCGUAAAGCGUCUGUAGGUGGCUUAAAAAGUCUCCUGUCAAAGAUCAUGGCUUAACCCUGGGCCGGCAGGACAAACUCUUACGCUAUAAUUUGGUAGGGGCAGAGGGAAUUCCCGGUGGAGCGGUGAAAUGCGUACAGAUCGGGAGGAACACCAAAAGCAAAAGCUCUCUGCUGGGCCACAACUGACACUGACACACCAAUGCGAGGGGAGGAAAAGGGAUUAUAUACCCCUGU
RNAcentral lists this ribosomal RNA (354 nucleotides) under Chlorella sp. Its description in RNAcentral is "SSU rRNA". It matches the Rfam family "Bacterial small subunit ribosomal RNA", at positions 423 to 791 of the family's 1533-position model. The record is from RNAcentral. Lineage: Eukaryota; Viridiplantae; Chlorophyta; Trebouxiophyceae; Chlorellales; Chlorellaceae.